Molecule: ribosomal RNA, 915 nt
Filed under: uncultured marine archaeon
Lineage: Archaea
Description: bacterial SSU rRNA
Rfam family: Archaeal small subunit ribosomal RNA
Source: RNAcentral
UUCCGGUUGAUCCUGCCGGAGGCUACCGCUAUUGGAGUUCGAUUAAGCCAUGCGAGUCCAGAGCUUUCGGAGCUCGGCGUACCGCUCAGUAACACGUGGGUAACCUAACCUAUGCAGGGGAAUAACCUCGGGAAACUGAGUAUAAUGCCCCAUAGUCCACUACGCCUGGAACGGUGAGUGGAUCAAAGCUCAGGCGGCAUAGGAUGGGCCUGCGGCGUAUCAGGUUGUAGGGGGUGUAAAGUACCCUCUAGCCAUCUACGCGUACGGGUGUUGGGAGACAUAGCCCGGAGAUGGAUUCUGAGACACGAAUCCAGACCCUACGGGGUGCAGCAGGCGCGAAAACUUGACAAUGCGAGCAAUCGUGAUCAGGGAACUCCAAGUGGCUGGGGUAAGACCCAGUCUUUUCAUAACUCUUCAAAGGUUGUAGAAUAAGGGGUGGGUAAGGACGGUGCCAGCCGCCGCGGUAAUACCGGCGCCUCAAGUGGUAGUCGCUUUUAUUGGGCCUAAAACGUCCGUAGCCGGUUUGGUACAUUCGUGGGUAAAUCAACUCGCUCAACGAGUUGAAUUCUGCGAGGACGGCCAAACUUGGGACCGGGAGAGGUGUGGGGUACUCUCAGGGUAGGGGUAAAAUCCUGUCAUCCUGAGAGGACCACCUGUUGCGAAGGCGCCACACUAGAACGGAUCCGACGGUCAGGGACGAAGCCUAGGGGCACGAACCGGAUUAGAUACCCGGGUAGUCCUAGGUGUAAACGCUGUGGACUUGAUGUUGGAGGAGCUCCGAGCUUCUUCAGUGUCGAAGCGAAGGUGAUAAGUCCACUGCCUGGGAAGUACGGUCGCAAGGCUGAAACUUAAAGGAAUUGGCGGGGGAGCACCACAAGGGGUGAAGCCUGCGGUUCAAUUGGAUUCAACGCCGGA